AGUUGGCAGAAUGUAUACAAGAUCAUAUUUAUGAGUAGGUGGAUACAGGACAGUCGAGAUCAGUACACUAAGGAGCGUCUGGAUUCAGUAAUUGAUCAGUACACUAAGCGUCUGGAUUCAGUAACUACUGUACUGUUUUGAGUAAACAGAUUGUUGGCUACUUCUUCAGUAUUCAGUAUUCAGUAUUCAGUAGC
Long non-coding RNA from Zingiber officinale, 194 nucleotides. RefSeq lists it as uncharacterized. The record is from RefSeq and is a predicted model, not a curated record. The transcript has 2 exons. Lineage: Eukaryota; Viridiplantae; Streptophyta; Magnoliopsida; Zingiberales; Zingiberaceae.